CGUAGCUUCUUUCAAUGGCAGGAAAUCCGCCUGAUAUGCGGGUAACGAUAGUUCGAUUCUAUCAGCUACGACCA
RNAcentral lists this transfer RNA (74 nucleotides) under Ruminococcaceae bacterium YAD3003. RNAcentral describes it as "tRNA_Ile_GAT". It matches the Rfam family "tRNA". From Rfam's summary of the family: Transfer RNA (tRNA) molecules are approximately 80 nucleotides in length. Their secondary structure includes four short double-helical elements and three loops (D, anti-codon, and T loops). The record is from RNAcentral. Lineage: Bacteria; Bacillati; Bacillota; Clostridia; Eubacteriales; Oscillospiraceae.